This 465-nucleotide ribosomal RNA is filed under the name uncultured Klebsiella sp. RNAcentral's name for it is "bacterial SSU rRNA". It matches the Rfam family "Bacterial small subunit ribosomal RNA", at positions 338 to 795 of the family's 1533-position model. Lineage: Bacteria; Pseudomonadati; Pseudomonadota; Gammaproteobacteria; Enterobacterales; Enterobacteriaceae. The record is from RNAcentral.
CCUACGGGGGGCUGCAGUGGGGAAUAUUGCACAAUGGGCGCAAGCCUGAUGCAGCCAUGCCGCGUGUGUGAAGAAGGCCUUCGGGUUGUAAAGCACUUUCAGCGGGGAGGAAGGCGUUAAGGUUAAUAACCUUGUCGAUUGACGUUACCCGCAGAAGAAGCACCGGCUAACUCCGUGCCAGCAGCCGCGGUAAUACGGAGGGUGCAAGCGUUAAUCGGAAUUACUGGGCGUAAAGCGCACGCAGGCGGUCUGUCAAGUCGGAUGUGAAAUCCCCGGGCUCAACCUGGGAACUGCAUUCGAAACUGGCAGGCUAGAGUCUUGUAGAGGGGGGUAGAAUUCCAGGUGUAGCGGUGAAAUGCGUAGUGAUCUGGAGGAAUACCGGUGGCGAAGGCGGCCCCCUGGACAAAGACUGACGCUCAGGUGCGAAAGCGUGGGGAGCAAACAGGAUUAGAUACCCGUGUAGUC